This is a non-coding RNA of Acanthosepion pharaonis, 100 nucleotides long. The record is from the annotation of a GenBank genome assembly. Lineage: Eukaryota; Metazoa; Mollusca; Cephalopoda; Sepiida; Sepiidae.
CAUUGAAACACUGGUUCUCAUACGAUCACCGACGUUAAAUAACAUCGAGCCGGGAUAGUAACAAGAUGAGUGACCGGAUGUGAAUACAAGGUGUUGUAAG